UAGCUCAGUUGGUUAGAGCAGUUGAAUCAUAAUCCAUGUGUCGGGAGUUCAAAUCUCUC
RNAcentral lists this transfer RNA (59 nucleotides) under Planctomycetaceae bacterium. RNAcentral describes it as "tRNA-Met". It matches the Rfam family "tRNA", at positions 8 to 63 of the family's 71-position model. From Rfam's summary of the family: Transfer RNA (tRNA) molecules are approximately 80 nucleotides in length. Their secondary structure includes four short double-helical elements and three loops (D, anti-codon, and T loops). Further hydrogen bonds mediate the characteristic L-shaped molecular structure. tRNAs have two regions of fundamental functional importance: the anti-codon, which is responsible for specific mRNA codon recognition, and the 3' end, to which the tRNAs corresponding amino acid is attached (by aminoacyl-tRNA synthetases). tRNAs cope with the degeneracy of the genetic code in two manners: having more than one tRNA (with a specific anti-codon) for a particular amino acid; and 'wobble' base-pairing, i.e. permitting non-standard base-pairing at the 3rd anti-codon position. Lineage: Bacteria; Pseudomonadati; Planctomycetota; Planctomycetia; Planctomycetales; Planctomycetaceae. The record is from RNAcentral.